GAGGGUAUAGCUCAGUGGUAGGGUACGUUCAUAACAUGUGCAAAGUCCUGGGUUCAAUCCCCAGUACCUCCA
RNAcentral lists this transfer RNA (72 nucleotides) under Camelus bactrianus (Bactrian camel). It matches the Rfam family "tRNA". From Rfam's summary of the family: Transfer RNA (tRNA) molecules are approximately 80 nucleotides in length. The record is from Rfam by way of RNAcentral. Lineage: Eukaryota; Metazoa; Chordata; Mammalia; Artiodactyla; Camelidae. RNAcentral also lists the same sequence under 2 other names.